GGGGCUGUAGUGUAGCCUGGCCGUGAGAAACCUCGGGAAAACCAUUGAACCCCGGUUCGAAUCCGGGCAGCCCCA
RNAcentral lists this transfer RNA (75 nucleotides) under Candidatus Woesearchaeota archaeon CG10_big_fil_rev_8_21_14_0_10_45_16. RNAcentral describes it as "tRNA-Ser". It matches the Rfam family "tRNA". From Rfam's summary of the family: Transfer RNA (tRNA) molecules are approximately 80 nucleotides in length. Their secondary structure includes four short double-helical elements and three loops (D, anti-codon, and T loops). The record is from RNAcentral. Lineage: Archaea; Nanobdellati; Candidatus Woesearchaeota.